RNAcentral lists this ribosomal RNA (253 nucleotides) under uncultured bacterium. RNAcentral's name for it is "partial 16S ribosomal RNA". It matches the Rfam family "Bacterial small subunit ribosomal RNA", at positions 524 to 776 of the family's 1533-position model. The record is from RNAcentral.
UACGGAGGGUGCAAGCGUUAUCCGGAUUUACUGGGUUUAAAGGGUGUGUAGGCGGGUCUUUAAGUCCGUGGGGAAAUCUCCGAGCUCAACUUGGAAACUGCCAUUGAUACUAUUGAUCUUGAAUUUUGUUGAGGUAGGCGGAAUAAGUCAUGUAGCGGUGAAAUGCAUAGAUAUGACUUAGAACACCAAUUGCGAAGGCAGCUUGCUAAACAAAUAUUGACGCUGAGGCACGAAAGCGUGGGGAUCAAACAGG